GCGGAGUGCGGGGGAUGUAGUUCCGGUUGGGAGGGGCGUGGCUGAGGACUGUGAAGCAAUCGGGGCGAGGCCGGGUGUCUGUUCAACUCUCCCGCGUAUCGUCUGUUUCUUCGGCGGCGGACAGUGUUCUGUAAUGUGUCUCCCGUUGCCCGAGCUAAAGGUUUUCCUCGACGGAGUCUUUAGAAUACCGUGGUAGAGGCAGUCUCCACACCACUGUGCUCGAACAGCUCUAUGAAGAGGCCUAUGUGGAGAGGAGAAAAAGCCUCCACCAACAGCCAGCACCAACUUGCCAGCCAUAUAUGAACUCUCGCUAUGUUGCCUCGGCUGGUCUCAAACUCCUGGGCUCAAGUGAUCCUCCCACUUCGGCCUCCCAAAAUGGCGUCUUGCUCUGUCACCCAGGCUGGGGUGCAGUGGUGUGAUCUCAGCUCACUGCAACCUCUGCCUCCUGGGUUCAAGCAAUUCUUCUGCCUCAGCCUCCCAAAGAGCUGUGAUUACAGACGUGUGCCACAAUACCCGGCUAAGUUUUGUAUUUUUAUUAUUAUUUUAUUUAUGUGUUUAUUUAUUUAUUUAUUUAUUUAUUUUGAGAUGGAGUCUUGCUGUGUCGCCCAGGGUGGAGUGCAGUGGUGCGAUCUCUGCUCGCUGCAGCCUCUGCCCCCCAGGCGAUUCUCCUGCCUCAGCCUCCCGAGUAGCUGGGAUUACAGGUGCCCGCCACCAUACCCGGCUAAUUUUUGUAUUUUUAGUAAAGACAGGGUUUUGCCAUGUUGGCCAGGCUGAUCUCGAACUCCUGACCUCAAGUGAUCUGUCUGCCUUGGCCUCCCAAGGCAGGGAGCCUGCUGGGAUUACAGGCAUGAGCCACCACGCCCAGUCAAAAUGUUUUAAAUGUUUCUAUACCACCAUCUGUGUCAAAGAGCAAAUGGUCUCUCUGCAGCUGGAACAACAAAAACUCAAAUGGUCCACACAGUGGUUCAUACCUAUAAGUCACCAAACCUAAACUAAGUUGUUAUCUGACCUUCUGGAAAUGAGAAGAGAUAGAUAACUGCCAGUUUCCCAAACAGGCCAGUUUAAAUCUUCCUGUAAGCAUGAUAAGGAAGUUCCCUCUGAUUUAAUCCUUACACACGAAAAAGUAGCCUUAAAUAACCUGAUAUUAACUCAUCAGUUUUAUUUUUAUUUAUUUAUUUUUUUUUGAGACAAUGUCUUGCUCUGUCACCCAGGCUGGAGUGCAGUGGCACAAUCUCGGCUCACUGCAAUCUCCGCCUCCCGGGUUCACGCCAUUCUCCUGCCUCAGCCUCCCGAGUAGCUGGGACUACAGGUGCCUGCCACCACACCCGGCUAAUUUUUGUAUUCUUAGUAGAGAUGGGGUUUCACCGUGUUAGCCAGGAUGGUCUCGAUCUCCUGACCUUGUGAUCCACCCCCCUCGGCCUCCCAAAGUGCUGGGAUUACAGGUGUGAGCCACCGCGCCUGGCCACUCAUCAGUUAUUUUUCUAUCAUUUUGUCUUUCUGUCCCCACUUUACAAGAAAAGUGACUUUGAAAGGACUAAUAACAUUAUUCGUUUUUUGCUUCUGCUUUCUUCAGCCCUUCUCUGUCUGUAAAGCCAGCUUCUUUUGCACAGCUCACUGCAACACUUAUUUUUAUUUGUAUUUUUAUUUUUUGAGACAAUGUCUCACUCUGUCACCCGGGCUGGAGAGUGGAGAGUACUAAUGCAGUCUUGGCCCACUGCACCUUCACCCUCCUCAACUCAAGCAAUCUUCCUGCCUCAACUUCCCUGGCAGCCAGGACUACAGGCUUGCACCACUAUACCCAGCUAAUUUUUAAAAUUUUUUUUUUUGUAGAGACAGGGUCUUGCUAUGUGGGCCAGACUGGUCUCAAACUCCUGGCCUCAAGGGAUCCUUCUUCCUUGGCCUGCCAAAGUGCUGGGAUAGAAUAAGUGUGCCGGGGCCACCAUGCCCAGGCCACCACACCUGGCCCACUUAUUCUAUUUUAUGGAAUGAAGUGUUACCCAAUUCUGGCUUUUUUUGAGACAGGGUCGUGCACCGUUGCUCAGGCGGGAAUGCAGUGGCACGAUCUUGGAACACUCCAACCUCCACCUCCAAGGCUCAAGCCAUCUUCCCACCUCAGCCUCCCGAGUAGCUGGGGCCACAGGCGUGUGCCACCACAUCCAGCUAAUUUUUGUAUUUUUUGUAGAGAUGGGGUUUUGCCAUGUUGCCCAGGCUGGUUUGGUCUCAAACUCCUGGUCUCAAGCCAUCCACCCACCUUGGUCUCCCAAAGUGCUGGGAUUACAGAUGUGAACCAACAUGUCCAGCCUUUUUUUUUUUUUGAGACAAAUUCUGGCUCUGUCACCCAGACUGGAGUGCAGUGGUGCCAUCUUGGCUCACUGCAACCUCCACCUCCGAGGCUCAAGCAAUUCUCUCACCCCAGCCUCCUGAGUAGCUAGGACCACAGGUGCUCACCACCACGCCUGGUUAACUUUUGUGUUUUUUGUAGAGAUGGGGUUUUGCCAUGUUUCCUAUGCUGGUCUGGAACUCAUGAACUCAACAGAUUGUCCCACCUCAGCCUCUCAAAGUGCUGGGAUUACAGCUCAAAGCACCUGUCAUAAAAAUAUUAACUUGUAAUAAAAGUGUUUAGUAACACUAAUAUGUGAUGGCAAUUUCAGGAAAGUCAAUGUUCUGAGCAAGAAGAACAAGGAACAGAAGGUAUAAUGAUAACAGAUGAGAGAGGAAAAAGCAGACUCAAUCAACUCCUACUUUUCCAUCAUUUUUCCGUUACAGAGAAUUAUCCUCAAAUUAGAAGGAGUAGGACCUACAUGGUAAAGAAAAAAUUUACGUGCAAGGCAGAUGAGGAAGUAAGAGAGCAUCCAGCCCCUUCACACAACUUCAUUCUCUGUCUUACCGAAAGAAUGUGAAAUGUGGUGGUAGCUUUACUGGGGACAGGAGAGGUGCCAGAAGUUUGAAGAUGGACUAAUCUCCUUGUUUUCUAAAAGAAGAACCUAUAAGUCUCUGAGCACAUUUUUCUUUGGCAAAAUUCUGGAAUGGAUAAUUAGACAAAUGGUUUGUGAAUCUUUAGAAAAGUGGCAAAAACAAGGCACAGCAUAAAUUCACUAAAAAAUAA
RNAcentral lists this long non-coding RNA (3106 nucleotides) under Homo sapiens (human). RNAcentral's name for it is "HSALNT0319285". Lineage: Eukaryota; Metazoa; Chordata; Mammalia; Primates; Hominidae. The record is from RNAcentral.